CUGGAUACGGAGUGGACGUAGCAGUUCAGGAACCCCACCUCCUUUCCCAGCACGCUCUGCACCUCGUAAGUCUGCAGGAAUAAAAGCAUGCACCAACACGGUCCCUCCUGUUUAAUGAUCUGACCACAUUUCACCCAGGAGCUGUGCCUGAGCGAAUUUGCAGAGGCUGUGUUCUGCGUGGAGGAGAGGGAUGCAAGGCUGGCAUGGCUGCACUAAGAGGAGACAGCAUGUUAGCACAUGAACUAGCCUUGCCUACAACCAGCCUCUGGCCGUGCCCUGCCUUCAUCUGCAUGGUGCUUCUCUACAGACUGGUUCUGCAGUCCAGUUCACUGUGCAGCUGCACAAACAACUCUACUGGUGUAACAGAAGGGCUGCCACAAGGUGAGGAACAAGUGGCCAGGGCCAGUGACGGCUAAAACCAACCUCCCUGCCAAAAUAGUUGAUUGCAAAGCUACACCCUUAGAAACUUCAGCAGCACUUGCAAAAAAAAUGCCACCUCAAGUGGUAUUUCUUGUGACUAAUCUUUAUCCCUGUGUUUCAGCCAGGGAAGAAAAAAAAUCUGAGUUGCCAGACUUUUAAAUACUGGCAUUAUACACACUGAAAAUGAAAAAAAGAGGUUGUUUGAAUUCUAAUAACUCGAAAAAGAACUAUGUUUUGCCAGUCUGUAACCAAACCAGACACAUCCUGUAAAACUCAGCAAGACUUAACUGCUAUUAAAGGAGCAAACACGUUUUGCAAAUUUCUUGUAUCUCUUUGCUUAAAUGAAAUAUACAUCCUUCUCCAGCAUAAGAAAAUAAUUUAUUAUUUCAGAGUAAUUUUCCACUUUAAAUAGUACCCACAAAUCCCACUAAAGGCAUGGAGCAUGUAAUAGGAAAAUGGUGGAAAACUUGUAAGACAGGGAAAGUAAACUGACCCCAGUACAUAUCACCUAUCUGAAGAUAUUUAACUGGGACGAUUAAACAAGACAACAAACUGACCUUUGUUCCCGUUCACGUGCAAGGGAGAGGGAAAAUCUUGGAAUCCUAAUUGGGCUUAAUGACUCUCUGAAGGCUGCUGAGCAUCCAGCAGCCAAUGCCAGCCAGGCACCUACCCAUGUGCCUCCCUCACCCACAAUAAAUCUGGGUCACUGUGCCAAGUGUCAGGGUUCUUCUGAUAUCUCAGAUUAAAGGAAUAACUACAUCACGAUUACAUAAACUGUACUUUAGCCCAUGGAUCUCCACAGCUCAUGUGUGUUUCAUUCAUUUCAUUUCAUUAUGAAGUAAUAUGUUGCAUGCAUUUUGCAAAUUCUUCUACUAUUUCCACCUGCCAGUACUUUCAGUGUCGUGCUGUUACAAAGUGGUUGUGGUUUAUAGGAUUUAGAUGCCCAGACCCAAAAGGUGGGAUGCUUGGCUGUCCUUGGAUCCUCAGCUGGAUGAGCUGGAGUCAAGUCCAGCACUGCCUGUGGCAGCUCUGAGUGCUGUUUGCAGGUAGCUCUGCAGAUCCACAGCUGAGCUGGAGCUACACAGCCCAUCUGCAGCAUCCUCCUUCUGAAAAGGAGGGUGUGAGUCUGAUGAGAUGGCAGGGCAUCAGCAGCUGGAAGGUGGGAUUGCCAAAGGGUACAGCCCACUCAAAUCACAGCCUGGACAUGGGAAAAAAAAUCAUUUCACUUGUAGUGAAAUCUCUUACAACUCCUAGUGCAGUUCUGAAGUGAACUGCCUGGAAAGUCAUCACUAGAAAAAGUCUCCAUCACUAGAGAUUUUCAAGACCCUGCCACCAAAAGUCAUGGCUGACCUGCCAACACAUCAGUACUCUCCCUUUACAUUAGGUUCUGUAGUUUAACUUUCUUUGGUCAGCAUUCAUUAU
Non-coding RNA from Cyanistes caeruleus (blue tit), 1842 nucleotides. The record is from RefSeq and is a predicted model, not a curated record. Lineage: Eukaryota; Metazoa; Chordata; Aves; Passeriformes; Paridae.